CCGCCUGGCUGGCGCGGUACAGCGCGUCGAUCAUGUUGGGAUCGACCAGGCUGUUGAGCUUGACCCAGAUCGCCGCCGGCCUGCCGGCCC
Molecule: transfer RNA, 90 nt
Filed under: compost metagenome
Description: tRNA-Asn
Source: RNAcentral